RNAcentral lists this ribosomal RNA (776 nucleotides) under uncultured bacterium. RNAcentral's name for it is "bacterial SSU rRNA". It matches the Rfam family "Bacterial small subunit ribosomal RNA", at positions 60 to 834 of the family's 1533-position model. The record is from RNAcentral.
AGUCGAACGGGCUUGGGGGCUUGCUCCCGGGUUAGUGGCGAACGGGUGAGUAAUAUAUCGGAACAUAUCCGGAAGUGGGGGAUAACGUAGCGAAAGUUACGCUAAUACCGCAUAUGCCCUGAGGGGGAAAGGGGGGGAUCGCAAGACCUCUCGCUUUCGGAGUGGCCGAUACCGGAUUAGCUAGAUGGUGAGGUAAAGGCUCACCAUGGCGACGAUCCGUAGCUGGUCUGAGAGGACGACCAGCCACACUGGAACUGAGACACGGUCCAGACUCCUACGGGAGGCAGCAGUGGGGAAUUUUGGACAAUGGGUGAAAGCCUGAUCCAGCCAUACCGCGUGAGUGAAGAAGGCCUUCGGGUUGUAAAGCUCUUUCAGCCGGAAAGAAAUCCUGCUUACUAAUACUAAGUGGGGAUGACGGUACCGGAAGAAGAAGCACCGGCUAACUACGUGCCAGCAGCCGCGGUAAUACGUAGGGUGCGAGCGUUAAUCGGAAUUACUGGGCGUAAAGCGUGCGCAGGCGGUUUUAUAAGCCAGAUGUGAAAUCCCCGGGCUUAACCUGGGAACUGCAUUUGGAACUGUAAGACUAGAGUGUAGCAGAGGGGGGUAGAAUUCCACGUGUAGCAGUGAAAUGCGUAGAGAUGUGGAGGAAUACCGAUGGCGAAGGCAGCCCCCUGGGCUAACACUGACGCUCAUGCACGAAAGCGUGGGGAGCAAACAGGAUUAGAUACCCUGGUAGUCCACGCCCUAACGAUGUCAACUAAGGUGUUGGGGAAGGA